This 253-nucleotide ribosomal RNA is filed under the name uncultured bacterium. RNAcentral describes it as "partial 16S ribosomal RNA". It matches the Rfam family "Bacterial small subunit ribosomal RNA", at positions 524 to 776 of the family's 1533-position model. The record is from RNAcentral.
UACGUAGGGUGCAAGCGUUGUCCGGAAUUAUUGGGCGUAAAGAGCGUGUAGGCGGCCAGACAGGUCAGCUGUGAAAACUCGAGGCUCAACCUCGAGACGUCGGUUGAAACCGUCUGGCUAGAGUCCGGAAGAGGAGAGUGGAAUUCCCGGUGUAGCAGUGAAAUGCGUAGAUAUCAAGUGGAACACCAGUGGCGAAGGCGAGUCUCUGGACAUUUCCUGACGCUGAGGCACGAAAGCCAGGGGAGCAAACGGG